CCUACGGGAGGCAGCAGUGGGGAAUUUUGGACAAUGGGCGAAAGCCUGAUCCAGCCAUUCCGCGUGCAGGAUGAAGGCCCUCGGGUUGUAAACUGCUUUUGUACAGAACGAAAAGGUUUCUAUUAAUACUAGGAGCUCAUGACGGUACUGUAAGAAUAAGCACCGGCUAACUACGUGCCAGCAGCCGUGGUAAUACGUAGGGUGCAAGCGUUAAUCGGAAUUACUGGGCGUAAAGCGUGCGCAGGCGGUUAUAUAACGGUCAGAUGUGAAAUCCCCGGGCUCAACCUGGGAACUGCAUUUGAGACUGUAUAGCUAGAGUACGGUAGAGGGGGAUGGGAAUUCCGCGUGUAGCAGUGAAAUGCGUAGAUAUGCGGAGGAACACCGAUGGCGAAGGCAAAUCCCCUGGACCUGUACUGACGCUCAUGCACGAAAGCGUGGGGAGCAAACAGGAUUAGAUACCCUGGUAGUCCACGCCCUAAACGAUGUACACUGGUUGUUGGUACUUACUGACUCGAGUACGAGCGUACGCGUAGAGUAGACGCGNGGAGGUAACGGCCGCGAGGUUAGUAACGUUACGAAGAAGUUAGGACGGCGNGAGAGNGCCGACGGACGACGACGAGGGAGGAGG
RNAcentral lists this ribosomal RNA (628 nucleotides) under uncultured bacterium. RNAcentral's name for it is "bacterial SSU rRNA". The stretch from base 1 to 543 matches the Rfam family "Bacterial small subunit ribosomal RNA", at positions 338 to 873 of the family's 1533-position model. The record is from RNAcentral.